GUGUCCGUGGUCAAUAAGAAUGAGGCCUGGAUAAAGAAGUAUACAGAGAGCACUGGAAACCUUCUUUUUAGUAGAUGUUUCCUUUAAGGAACAACAAUAUAAAAUAACUGCAGGAAUAUAAAUCAGCAGAUCAGCAACAAACACUGUUGUACGCAUAAAUAACUUAUGUGACUGACUCUCAUACCCCCGAGAUGUGUGGAGAGCAAUCCAAUCAGGAUUUAUUAACUUUGCAACAUAAGCACACAGAAAGCUGUGAUAGGCAGUAAGAGGUGGAUAAUCUAGGCCCCAGUACAGCAAGUUGUUAUCACUUGUAUUGAAGUACCACUGCCUGAUGGGUAAGUUGUAAGUAACUUCUUGCCAGUGUCUCUGAGCUUCAUAAUCUCCAU
This 386-nucleotide long non-coding RNA is filed under the name Gallus gallus (chicken). The record is from RNAcentral. Lineage: Eukaryota; Metazoa; Chordata; Aves; Galliformes; Phasianidae.